CAACCCCCCGCCACUUCCUCAUUCACAGUAUUUUGCUUUUAUUCUCUUCACUUCUGACUGCAUCUCAGCGUCGAAAACCCGAAAGUUCGCCCUUCAAACAGCAAGAAAUUCACAUCAGAAAUCAAGGAAUGGUGUGCCUCGGACGUGGAUUAUCAGGCUGGGAGAGAGACUAAGAGAACUCAUUCUAUUCCCAUUGGACGGUGUGGGAGGGAGCAAGAGUGUCCAGCUUUGUGUGCUGGUAAAUUACUGGAAAGGAAGUGACCCCAAAGUUUCAACAAAGGAAUACUGCAGGCAUUGCAGCCUUCGAUACUUGUUACUUAAACACAUUAUUUAGUCCGUCAAAGUAUUUGGAAUUCACCCAGAUCCAGUCUAUCAAUCUUCAGAGCAACAUGGCUAGCUGUGCGGAGCUUAUGUGGUCCCUUUUCUGGCUUAUUGUGCUGUUCUUUAUAGGCUGGCCACUCAGUAUAUUCUUUGGGGGAAUCUACGGGUUUUUAUCACCUCUGACCACCUGUAUUGGACUGGAUCAGGUCACCGAUGUCCUUCUGCAAGGUGCAAAUCUGGGCCGAACCUGUGCUGAGAAUAUGAGAUCAAGCAAAGCUCUCUGCUAAAAAUCAAAUGGAUGGCUACCACCCUAUCAGCAACAAAGAAACUUUACUACAACUGUGAGCUUUCCACUUCAUCACAACUGUGAGCUUUCCACUUCAUCACUUAGAUUCCUGCCGAUCACUCAAUUUUAAAACAAAUAAUCACAGAACUUUUCAUUUCCUUUCUAACCUUAACCAAUGGCUACAGAUUUGUUUUAGCCCUUUUACAGCAGCUCUGGUGGAAUUAUACCUUUAGAAUGAAAACAGUUAUAUUUUAAAUUACUUGCAAUUAAAAUGCUGCAAUAAAUGAC
Molecule: long non-coding RNA, 895 nt
Organism: Carcharodon carcharias (great white shark)
Lineage: Eukaryota; Metazoa; Chordata; Chondrichthyes; Lamniformes; Lamnidae
Exons: 4
Source: RefSeq, a predicted model, not a curated record